AGUGAACGCUGGCGGUAGGCCUAACACAUGCAAGUCGAACGGCAGCACAGUAAGAGCUUGCUCUUACGGGUGGCGAGUGGCGGACGGGUGAGGAAUACAUCGGAAUCUACUUUUUCGUGGGGGAUAACGUAGGGAAACUUACGCUAAUACCGCAUACGACCUACGGGUGAAAGCAGGGGAUCUUCGGACCUUGCGCGAUUGAAUGAGCCGAUGUCGGAUUAGCUAGUUGGCGGGGUAAAGGCCCACCAAGGCGACGAUCCGUAGCUGGUCUGAGAGGAUGAUCAGCCACCAUGGAACUGAGAAACGGUCCAGACUCCUACGGGAGGCAGCAGUGGGGAAUAUUGGACAAUGGGCGCAAGCCUGAUCCAGCCAUACCGCGUGGGUGAAGAAGGCCUUCGGGUUGUAAAGCCCUUUUGUUGGGAAAGAAAAGCAGCAGGUUAAUACCCCGCUGUUCUGACGGUACCCAAAGAAUAAGCACCGGCUAACUUCGUG
RNAcentral lists this ribosomal RNA (492 nucleotides) under uncultured bacterium. Its description in RNAcentral is "partial 16S ribosomal RNA". It matches the Rfam family "Bacterial small subunit ribosomal RNA", at positions 29 to 507 of the family's 1533-position model. The record is from RNAcentral.